UACGUAGGGUGCGAGCGUUAAUCGGAAUUACUGGGCGUAAAGCGUGCGCAGGCGGUUAUAUAAGACAGUUGUGAAAUCCCCGGGCUCAACCUGGGAACUGCAUUUGUGACUGCACGGCUGGAGUGCGGCAGAGGGGGAUGGAAUUCCGCGUGUAGCAGUGAAAUGCGUAGAGAUGUGGAGGAACACCGAUGGCGAAGGCAGCCUCCUGGGCCAACACUGACGCUCAUGCACGAAAGCGUGGGGAGCAAACAGG
Molecule: ribosomal RNA, 253 nt
Filed under: uncultured bacterium
Lineage: Bacteria
Description: partial 16S ribosomal RNA
Rfam family: Bacterial small subunit ribosomal RNA
Source: RNAcentral